UGGGGAAUUUUGGACAAUGGGGGAAACCCUGAUCCAGCCAUCCCGCGUGUGCGAUGAAGGCCUUCGGGUUGUAAAGCACUUUUGGCAGGAAAGAAACGUCAUGGGUUAAUACCCCGUGAAACUGACGGUACCUGCAGAAUAAGCACCGGCUAACUACGUGCCAGCAGCCGCGGUAAUACGUAGGGUGCAAGCGUUAAUCGGAAUUACUGGGCGUAAAGCGUGCGCAGGCGGUUCGGAAAGAAAGAUGUGAAAUCCCAGAGCUCAACUUUGGAACUGCAUUUUUAACUACCGGGCUAGGGUGUGUCAGAGGGAGGUGGAAUUCCGCGUGUAGCAGUGAAAUGCGUAGAUAUGCGGAGGAACACCGAUGGCGAAGGCAGCCUCCUGGGAUAACACUGACGCUAAUGCACGAAAGCGUGGGGAGCAAACAGG
Molecule: ribosomal RNA, 429 nt
Filed under: Acidobacteriota bacterium
Lineage: Bacteria; Pseudomonadati; Acidobacteriota
Description: Acidobacteria bacterium partial 16S ribosomal RNA
Rfam family: Bacterial small subunit ribosomal RNA
Source: RNAcentral